AUACGCAAUUGGAUGAAAAGAGAGAAGUUAGCAAUAAGUAAUUAGUAGUCCGCCACUGACUAGUUUUCCCAAGGUGUGGUUUAAGCCUUGCACUCUCUCUGUGCCAACCCCUGCAAUUCAGUCAGCUGCAGAGAACUCCACAGCAUAAUUUGUGGCAGCUGGGGACUGCAUUUGUGCGCUGCCCCAGG
Amazona collaria (yellow-billed parrot) is the source of this 188-nucleotide small nuclear RNA. Its record names the gene U1. It matches the Rfam family "U1 spliceosomal RNA". Rfam says of the family: U1 is a small nuclear RNA (snRNA) component of the spliceosome (involved in pre-mRNA splicing). NCBI's taxonomy places the organism in Eukaryota, Metazoa, Chordata, Aves, Psittaciformes, Psittacidae. The record is from Ensembl.